ACCGAAAACCCUGGACCUAGAAU
This 23-nucleotide non-coding RNA is filed under the name Arabidopsis thaliana (thale cress). The record is from RNAcentral. Lineage: Eukaryota; Viridiplantae; Streptophyta; Magnoliopsida; Brassicales; Brassicaceae.